AACGAACGCUGGCGGCAUGCCUAACACAUGCAAGUCGAACGAGACCUUCGGGUCUAGUGGCGCACGGGUGCGUAACGCGUGGGAACCUGCCCUUAGGUUCGGAAUAACUCCCCGAAAGGGGUGCUAAUACCGGAUAAGCUCUUCGGACCAAAGAUUUAGCGCCUUUGGAUGGGCGCGCGUUGGAUUAGCUAGUUGGUAGGGGAAAAGCCUACCAAGGCGACGAUCCGUAGCUUGUCUGAGAGGAUGACUGGCCACACUGGGACUGAGACACGGCCCAGACUCCUACGGGAGGCAGCAGUGGGGAAUAUUGCAGUAUGGGCGGAAGCCUGAUGCAGCAACGCCGCGUGCGGUAUGACGGCCUUCGGGUUGUAAACCGCUUGCGCCUGUGACGAAGCGGGAGUGACGGUAAUGGGUAAAGAAGCACCGGCUAACUACGUG
This 438-nucleotide ribosomal RNA is filed under the name uncultured bacterium. RNAcentral's name for it is "partial 16S ribosomal RNA". It matches the Rfam family "Bacterial small subunit ribosomal RNA", at positions 29 to 507 of the family's 1533-position model. The record is from RNAcentral.